RNAcentral lists this transfer RNA (58 nucleotides) under Cricetulus griseus (Chinese hamster). The record is from Rfam by way of RNAcentral. Lineage: Eukaryota; Metazoa; Chordata; Mammalia; Rodentia; Cricetidae.
UGGCUUAGAGGUAAAGAGCACUGGCUGCUCUUCCAGAGGACCUGGGUUCAAUUCCCAG